AACCAGCCACGUCGCGUGAAGGAUGACGGCCCUACGGGUUGUAAACUUCUUUUAUACAGGAAUAAAGUGAGUCACGUGUGAUUUUUUGCAUGUACUGUAUGAAUAAGGAUCGGCUAACUCCGUGCCAGCAGCCGCGGUAAUACGGAGGAUCCAAGCGUUAUCCGGAUUUAUUGGGUUUAAAGGGUGCGCAGGCGGAAGAUUAAGUCGGCGGUGAAAUUUUGCAGCUCAACUGUAAAAGUGCCAUCGAUACUGGUUUUCUUGAGUGUGGAUGAAGUAGGCGGAAUUUGUGGUGUAGCGGUGAAAUGCAUAGAUAUCACGAGGAACUCCGAUUGCGCAGGCAGCUUACUAGGCCAUAACUGACGCUCAGGCACGAAGGCGUGGGGAUCAAAAGGGCUUAGAUACCCUGGUAGUCCACGCAGUAAACCCAGAAAGGUCGCUGUUUGCGAUACACCGUAAGCGGCUUAGCGAAAAGCGUUAAGUAAUCCACCUGGGGAGUACGUUCGCAAGAAUGAAACUCAAAGGAAUUGACGGGGGCCCGCACAAGCGGAGGAACAUGUGGUUUAAUUCGAUGAUACGCGAGGAACCUUACCCGGGUUUGAAUUGCUGAUGGCGGUAUUUGGAGACAGAUACUUCCCUUCGGGGCGUCAGUGAAGGUGCUGCAUGGUUGUCGUCAGCUCGUGCCGUGAGGUGUCGGCUUAAGUGCCAUAACGAGCGCAACCCUUGCCGUUAGUUGCCAUCGGGUCAUGCCGGGCACUCUAUUGGGACUGCCAUCGUAAGAUGUGAGGAAGGUGGGGAUGACGUCAAAUCAGCACGGCCCUUAUGUCCGGGGCGACACACGUGUUACAAUGGGGGGUACAGUGGGAAGCUACCUGGCGACAGGUUGCGGAUCCCCAAAUCCUUUCUCAGUUCGGAUCGGAGUCUGUAACUCGACUCCGUGAAGUUGGAUUCGCUAGUAAUCGCGCAUCAGCCAUGGCGCG
This 977-nucleotide ribosomal RNA is filed under the name uncultured bacterium. RNAcentral describes it as "bacterial SSU rRNA". It matches the Rfam family "Bacterial small subunit ribosomal RNA", at positions 386 to 1361 of the family's 1533-position model. The record is from RNAcentral.